Micropterus dolomieu (smallmouth bass) is the source of this 598-nucleotide long non-coding RNA. RefSeq lists it as uncharacterized. Lineage: Eukaryota; Metazoa; Chordata; Actinopteri; Centrarchiformes; Centrarchidae. The record is from RefSeq and is a predicted model, not a curated record. The transcript has 3 exons.
CUUAGACCUGACUUUGUCACAGCCCAACAGGACACACCAAACUCAGCAGAGAUUGGGGAGUGCUGAUAUCUUCCCACCAAAGAAACUCAAACUCAGAGCCUAUAGGUGGACGUUGGGGUAUAUGAACAGCAACCAAAGCAUGCACCUGCUGCUGUAAAAACGGAACUGACACAUACAGGGAGAGAGAGGUGGAAAGAGGCACCGCAAGCCGCUGUGCAGCAGUAAGACACCAGAGUUUUGUUUCAGAAAGAGAGCUUCAGUGGUGACGUAGCAGAAAGAUCCAGACAUAGACGCACUGCUGAGGCUCCACAUGAUGACGAAGCGCACAGUGCAGUAUGAGACUGAGGACAGACCAAUAAGGACCGAUGAGAGAACAUUGUGACAAUGGAGAACUGGUCCACAUGAAAACGGGGCCAGAUGAAGGCUCAAACUAAAGCAAAAGUUUCAAUGCUAUGGGAAAACACUUCUUCGAGGAGAUUAUUACUGAAAUAAAAGAAUCAAAGCUCUGUAAAAUGUACUCAUGUAUCUAAACUAAACUCUUAUUUUCUUUGCUGUGGAAAACUAGUGGAGAUAAGAGAUGCUACAGGUCUGCAUUAAA